RNAcentral lists this ribosomal RNA (301 nucleotides) under uncultured bacterium. RNAcentral's name for it is "partial 16S ribosomal RNA". It matches the Rfam family "Bacterial small subunit ribosomal RNA", at positions 509 to 807 of the family's 1533-position model. The record is from RNAcentral.
CAGUAGCCACGGUAAUACGGAGGGUGCAAGCGUUAAUCGGAAUUACUGGGCGUAAAGCGUGCGUAGGCGGUUCGUUAAGUCUGUUGUGAAAGCCCCGGGCUCAACCUGGGAAUGGCAAUGGAUACUGGCGGGCUAGAGUGUGUCAGAGGAUGGUGGAAUUCCCGGUGUAGCGGUGAAAUGCGUAGAGAUCGGGAGGAACAUCAGUGGCGAAGGCGGCCAUCUGGGACAACACUGACGCUGAGGCACGCAAGCGUGGGGAGCAAACAGGAUUAGAUACCCGUGUAGUCCCUGUCUCUUAUAC